Molecule: long non-coding RNA, 199 nt
Filed under: Elaeis guineensis (African oil palm)
Lineage: Eukaryota; Viridiplantae; Streptophyta; Magnoliopsida; Arecales; Arecaceae
Description: long non-coding RNA (EGUI_LNC076153)
Source: RNAcentral
CGGCAGUGGUCGGAGUCCGGCCUCUGUAGAAGUCCGGGAAGGGUCCUCCUUUCGGUUGGGGUCGUAGGUGGAGUCCGGCUCCCGUAGGAGUCCGGACGGAGCUUACCUGCAGUGGAUACUGAAAGCGAAACCCGGCUCCCGUAGGAGUCCGGGCGGAGCAUUCUGCGAUCAAAGUUAAAGAUGAAGUCCGGCUCCCGUG